CCCGCAAGGGGGAGGGAGUGGCGGACGGGUGAGGAACACGUGGGUGACCUACCCCUAGGUGAGGAAUACCGGCGAGAAAUCGUCGACAAGACCGCAUAGGGUCGUCUGGCAGACAGGCGAGCAAAGCAUCUUUUCGCGAGAAGGGAGGUGCCUGGGGAUGGGCCUGCGUCCGAUUAGCUAGUUGGUGAGGUAAGAGCCCACCAAGGCGGCGAUCGGUAGCUGGUCUGAGAGGAUGAUCAGCCACACUGGGAUUGAGAACGGCCCAGACUCCUACGGGAGGCAGCAGUGAGGGAUUUUCGGCAAUGGGGGCAACCCUGACCGAGCGACGCCGCGUGCAGGAGGACGGUCUUCGGA
Molecule: ribosomal RNA, 354 nt
Filed under: uncultured bacterium
Lineage: Bacteria
Description: partial 16S ribosomal RNA
Rfam family: Bacterial small subunit ribosomal RNA
Source: RNAcentral